UCUCCGUUGGUGAACCAGCGGAGGGAUCAUUACAGGACUCGCAAGACUCCUACAACCCUGUGAACUUAACUAUAAGCACGUUGCUUCGGCGGGUGUCUCGGAGGGGGUUCUCCCUCCCCGAGACGCUAAACCCGCCGGCAGCCUACUAUACUCUGUCUCUUUGCGGUGGCAUCUCGAGUACAAUCAAACAAGUUAAAACUUUCAACAACGGAUCUCUUGGUUCUG
This 225-nucleotide unclassified non-coding RNA is filed under the name plant metagenome. RNAcentral's name for it is "partial contains small subunit ribosomal RNA, internal transcribed spacer 1, and 5.8S ribosomal RNA". The record is from RNAcentral.